GAUGAACGCUGGCGGCGUGCCUAAUACAUGCAAGUCGAGCGAACGGACGAGAAGCUUGCUUCUCUGAUGUUAGCGGCGGACGGGUGAGUAACACGUGGAUAACCUACCUAUAAGACUGGGAUAACUUCGGGAAACCGUAGCUAAUACCGGAUAAUAUUUUGAACCGCAUGGUUCAAAAGUGAAAGACGGUCUUGCUGUCACUUAUAGAUGGAUCCGCGCUGCAUUAGCUAGUUGGUAAGGUAACGGCUUACCAAGGCAACGAUGCAUAGCCGACCUGAGAGGGGGUCGGGCACCACGGAAGCGGAGCCACGGCCCAGCCACUGAGGGACGGCACAGGAGGGGAUUCUUCCGAAAUGGGGGAAAGCUUGAGGAGCAACGCCGCGUGAGUGAUGAAGGUCUUCGGAUCGUAAAACUCUGUUAUUAGGGAAGAACAUAUGUGUAAGUAACUGUGCACAUCUUGACGGUACCUAAUCAGAAAGCCACGGCUAACUACGUG
Molecule: ribosomal RNA, 496 nt
Filed under: uncultured bacterium
Lineage: Bacteria
Description: partial 16S ribosomal RNA
Rfam family: Bacterial small subunit ribosomal RNA
Source: RNAcentral